Molecule: ribosomal RNA, 492 nt
Filed under: uncultured bacterium
Lineage: Bacteria
Description: partial 16S ribosomal RNA
Rfam family: Bacterial small subunit ribosomal RNA
Source: RNAcentral
AGUGAACGCUGGCGGUAGGCCUAACACAUGCAAGUCGAACGGCAGCACAGUAAGAGCUUGCUCUUACGGGUGGCGAGUGGCGGACGGGUGAGGAAUACAUCGGAAUCUACUUUUUCGUGGGGGAUAACGUAGGGAAACUUACGCUAAUACCGCAUACGACCUACGGGUGAAAGCAGGGGAUCUUCGGACCUUGCGCGAUUGAAUGAGCCGAUGUCGGAUUAGCUAGUUGGCGGGGUAAAGGCCCACCAAGGCGACGAUCCGUAGCUGGUCUGAGAGGAUGAUCAGCCACACUGGAACUGAGAUACGGUCCAGACUCCUACGGGAGGCAGCAGUGGGGAAUAUUGGACAAUGGGCGCAAGCCUAAUCCAGCCAUACCGCGUGGGUGAAGAAGGCCUUCGGGUUGUAAAGCCCUUUUGUUGGGAAAGAAAAGCAGCAGGUUAAUACCCCGCUGUUCUGACGGUACCCAAAGAAUAAGCACCGGCUAACUUCGUG